AAACUUUACAAUGCAGGAAACUGUGAUAAGGAGACACCGAGUGCUCGCAUCAAAUGCGGGCUGUCCGCUUACUUAAAUCGUAAGCGUUAGCAAGGGCCGGGCAAGACCGGUGCCAGCCGCCGCGGUAAUACCGGUGGCCCGAGUGGUAGCCGCUUUUAUUGGGUCUAAAGGGUCCGUAGCCGGUUCGGUCAGUCCAUUGGGAAAUCCGGAUGCUCAACAUCCGGGCUUCCAGUGGAUACUGCCGAACUUGGGAUCGGGGGAGGUAAGAGGUACUAUAGGGGUAGGAGUGAAAUCUUGUAAUCCCUGUGGGACCACCUGUGGCGAAGGCGUCUUACCAAAACGAGUCCGACGGUGAGGGACGAAAGCUGGGGGCACGAACCGGA
This 383-nucleotide ribosomal RNA is filed under the name uncultured archaeon. RNAcentral describes it as "bacterial SSU rRNA". It matches the Rfam family "Archaeal small subunit ribosomal RNA", at positions 345 to 728 of the family's 1478-position model. The record is from RNAcentral.